AUUGAACGCUGGCGGCAGGCUUAACACAUGCAAGUCGAGCGGGGGAAGGUAGCUUGCUACUGGACCUAGCGGCGGACGGGUGGGUAAUGCUUAGGAAUCUGCCUAUUAGUGGGGGACAACAUCUCGAAAGGGAUGCUAAUACCGCAUACGUCCUACGGGAGAAAGCAGGGGAUCUUCGGACCUUGCGCUAAUAGAUGAGCCUAAGUCGGAUUAGCUAGUUGGUGGGGUAAAGGCCUACCAAGGCGACGAUCUGUAGCGGGUCUGAGAGGAUGAUCCGCCACACUGGGACUGAGACACGGCACAGACUCCUACGGGAGGCAGCAGUGGGGAAUAUUGGACAAUGGGGGGGAACCCUGAUCCAGCCAUGCCGCGUGUGUGAAGAAGGCCUUAUGGUUGUAAAGCACUUUAAGCGAGGAGGAGGCUCUCUUGGUUAAUACCCAAGAUGAGUGGACGUUACUCGCAGAAUAAGCACCGGCUAACUCUGUGCCAGCCGCCGCCGUAA
RNAcentral lists this ribosomal RNA (502 nucleotides) under uncultured bacterium. Its description in RNAcentral is "partial 16S ribosomal RNA". It matches the Rfam family "Bacterial small subunit ribosomal RNA", at positions 30 to 523 of the family's 1533-position model. The record is from RNAcentral.